Molecule: long non-coding RNA, 1800 nt
Organism: Gopherus flavomarginatus (Mexican gopher tortoise)
Lineage: Eukaryota; Metazoa; Chordata; Testudines; Testudinidae
Exons: 3
Source: RefSeq, a predicted model, not a curated record
GAUAGUCGUCGUUGUACAUCCUUCAGGUUUGAAGAUGACCAUGACAUCACUGUUUGGGUUGGUUUCUAUGAACAUGUGAGUGGCUGAUCAGACCAGUUUGAACUUUAUUUUUCAUGUGAGUUUUUUGACCGCUUAUAGCGGGAUCCCCCAUCAGCCACAGUAUGGUGACCAAGGUUAAGGUGAAGCAGAUAAUGUUUAGGGCAUCUUUUCUAGCCCCUUUCUCAUACUACCAAGGUGAACAGUGUGAUCCUAACUAGGACUGCUCAGUCACCAAGGGGGCUGCUGAAUUCCACGGCUGCUUCAGUCCGGUGAAAAGCGACUCUAUGCCCUGAGCCGCUUGUGUGCAAGUCUGCAGUCACAGAGGCACUGGCAUCUAUGGAGCACAGGGGAAAUGGAGAGCUAUUUACAGGUGAAAAGUUAUAAUUGCAUUACUGGAGGGCGAGCGAUUUGGUGGGCAACAAAUGGAGGGGAAGUAAAUUUAAUGCCGAUGAAGUACUGAGUUGACAGCGCUGGAAAAUAUGUCCCCCUAUCUGCAUAUUAAGCCUAUGAGUCCUCUAUGCUACCUAUCAACUUGCCUUUUAUGAUGACUGGGCUUACAAAUUUACCCUAAUUGUGAGCUCAACUAUAAAAACUGAGUGUAAGUUCAUAAGAGGUCACAAUAACCUAUAACAGCAAACGUUAAUGGGAAAGGGGGGGGAAGGGAGACAGACUGAAUUAGUGCAAACAAAGAGGCCUGAUGAAAAAUUCAAGGACUGUGUUAAGAUCAUGCCUGGUAAAUUUAAAAAAAAAAAGAAUGGGGGAUGGGGAAGAGAGUGGAACUGAAAAUGGGUGUUGGAAACUAGGCCUAACUGGUGGAUGAAAUAAUGAGGAUUCGCUAUUCCACCCAUCACUCCUUUUCUGGGGUCCUCAAAAAGAGAAUUUGAGGGGAAGCCAACAGACCAUGACAGAGGAUGCGGGGCAUGCGGGGGCACCCUGUGGAGAAGCUGAGCCUGCGAGCUGUGCAGGGCAGGGAUAGUCAGAGGCAGGAGGAAUAGCUGGAAGCUGUAGGGAGAGGCGCUGCUUACUGGGAGAAGGGGACUAUGGUUGUUGGUGGUGGGGCAUGACUCAAACAGCUCUGGGGUUGUGCCCUCCCACUAUCAGCAGGCACAGGUCAUGUCUGGGAUGAGACUGGCUGAAAGACGAGAGAAGGAAAAGGAAAGAGCACCACCACCCUGGCUGUCACCCCAACCAUCUCCUGGGAUACUGGACCUUCUUCAUCCUAAUCCUGAGAGAUGUCCUGACCAGACCAGACCAGAUGACAUCACCAGCUCCGAUUAAAUCCUCACCACCACUGCUGACACUAUCCACUCCAUCAUACAAAGACUGUCCAAGCCCAGCUUCUGCUUAUGAAGAACAAAUUGUGUCCUCUUCAGGAAACAGGGAGUCUCCCAAGUCCCUCAUUCUUGCUAGACCGUAACCUUACUCAGCAACAGAAGAUCCUUCGCUUUGUGUUGAUCAUUGGCAUAUCAGUGCCAAGAAUCCAGGCUAUACUACAUCCAAGGAAAAAGUGAACUAUGAUGAGAGGCAGAGUUGCAAUCAAGUGAAGGGGACAUGAGUAACACAAUACUGCAAGUCUUUGAAUGGCAUUUAGUAGGAGCAAAGCCGUGGGCUCCAGCAAAGGCCUCUUCCCCCCUCCAGCCUGUUGAGAAAAUGCAAAAGAGCCCAUUCCUGUGGCUUUGCCUGCCUGGCAGGAAGUAAUGGGAAUUGCAUCAGGCUGCCUGCUCUUGGGCAGACUAGUGAUGGUAGCUGGAAGUAGGAAAU